RNAcentral lists this ribosomal RNA (422 nucleotides) under uncultured bacterium. RNAcentral's name for it is "partial 16S ribosomal RNA". It matches the Rfam family "Bacterial small subunit ribosomal RNA", at positions 359 to 773 of the family's 1533-position model. The record is from RNAcentral.
GAAUAUUGGACAAUGGGGGCAACCCUGAUCCAGCCAUGCCGCGCGUGUGAAGACGGCCUUUUGGUUGUAAAGCACUUUAAGCAGUGAAGAAGACCCCAUGGUUAUAACCCAUGGACGAUGACAUUAGCUCCAAAAUAAGCACCGGCUAACUCUGUGCAUGCAUCCGCGGUAACACAGAGGGUCAAAGCUUUAAUCGGAAUUACUGGGUGUAAAGCGAGCGUAGGUGGCUUGAUAAGUCAGAUGUGACAUCCCCGGGCUUAACCUGGGAACUGCAUCUGAUACUGUUAGGCUAGAAUAGGUGAGAGGAAGGUAGAAUUCCAGGUGUAGCGGUGAAAUGCGUAGAGAUCUGGAGGAAUACCGAUGGCGAAGGCAGCCUUCUGGCAUCAUAUUGACACUGAGGUUCGAAAGCGUGGGUAGCAAAC